GGGCGUAGUUCAAUGGUAGAACGGCAGCUUCCCAAGCUGCUACGUCGCUGGCUCACAAUGCACCGUGGUUCACCA
RNAcentral lists this transfer RNA (75 nucleotides) under Bradyrhizobium guangdongense. RNAcentral's name for it is "tRNA-Gly". The record is from RNAcentral. Lineage: Bacteria; Pseudomonadati; Pseudomonadota; Alphaproteobacteria; Hyphomicrobiales; Nitrobacteraceae.